This 404-nucleotide ribosomal RNA is filed under the name uncultured Hyphomonadaceae bacterium. Its description in RNAcentral is "bacterial SSU rRNA". It matches the Rfam family "Bacterial small subunit ribosomal RNA", at positions 355 to 776 of the family's 1533-position model. Lineage: Bacteria; Pseudomonadati; Pseudomonadota; Alphaproteobacteria; Hyphomonadales; Hyphomonadaceae. The record is from RNAcentral.
UGGGGAAUCUUGGACAAUGGGCGAAAGCCUGAUCCAGCCAUGCCGCGUGGAUGAUGAAGGCCCUAGGGUUGUAAAAUCCUUUCGUUGGGGACGAUAAUGACGGUACCCAAAGAAGAAGCUCCGGCUAACUUCGUGCCAGCAGCCGCGGUAAUACGAAGGGGGCUAGCGUUGUUCGGAUUUACUGGGCGUAAAGCGCAUGUAGGCGGGUCGUUAAGUUGGGGGUGAAAUCCCGAGGCUCAACCUCGGAACUGCCUUCAAAACUGGCGACCUGGAGCAAGAUAGAGGCAAGUGGAAUUGCGAGUGUAGAGGUGAAAUUCGUAGAUAUUCGCAGGAACACCAGUGGCGAAGGCGACUUGCUGGAUCUUUGCUGACGCUGAGAUGCGAAAGCGUGGGGAGCAAACAGG